CCUACGGGAGGCUGCAGUGGGGAAUAUUGCACAAUGGGGGAAACCCUGAUGCAGCGACGCCGCGUGAGUGAAGAAGUAUUUCGGUACGUAAAGCUCUAUCAGCAGGGAAGAAAAAAAGUCCUUUGGACUUUGGACGGUACCUGACUAAGAAGCCCCGGCUAACUACGUGCCAGCAGCCGCGGUAAUACGUAGGGGGCACGCGUUAUCCGGAUUUACUGGGUGUAAAGGGAGCGUAGACGGCAGCGCAGGUCUGGAGGGAAAUGCCGGGGCCCAACCCCGGAACUGCUUUGGAAACUGUGCAGCUGGAGUGGAGGAGAGGUAAGCGGAAUUCCUGGUGUAGCGGUGAAAUGCGUAGAUAUUAGGAGGAACACCAGUGGCGAAGGCGGCUUACUGGACUGUAACUGACGUUGAGGCUCGAAAGCGUGGGGAGCAAACAGGAUUAGAUACCCUUGUAGUC
RNAcentral lists this ribosomal RNA (457 nucleotides) under uncultured bacterium. RNAcentral's name for it is "partial 16S ribosomal RNA". It matches the Rfam family "Bacterial small subunit ribosomal RNA", at positions 338 to 795 of the family's 1533-position model. The record is from RNAcentral.